This 312-nucleotide ribosomal RNA is filed under the name uncultured Pseudomonas sp. Its description in RNAcentral is "bacterial SSU rRNA". It matches the Rfam family "Bacterial small subunit ribosomal RNA", at positions 1070 to 1382 of the family's 1533-position model. Lineage: Bacteria; Pseudomonadati; Pseudomonadota; Gammaproteobacteria; Pseudomonadales; Pseudomonadaceae. The record is from RNAcentral.
AGAUGUGGGUUAAGUCCCGUAACCGAGCGCAACCCUUGUCCUUAGUUACCAGCACGUUAUGGUGGGCACUCUAAGGAGACUGCCGGUGACAAACCGGAGGAAGGUGGGGAUGACGUCAAGUCAUCAUGGCCCUUACGGCCUGGGCUACACACGUGCUACAAUGGUCGGUACAAAGGGUUGCCAAGCCGCGAGGUGGAGCUAAUCCCAUAAACCGAUCGUAGUCCGGAUCGCAGUCUGCAACUCGACUGCGUGAAGUCGGAAUCGCUAGUAAUCGUGAAUCAGAAUGUCACGGUGAAUACGUUCCCGGGCCUU